AACGAACGCUGGCGGCAUGCCUAACACAUGCCAGUCGAACGAGACCUUCGGGUCUAGUGGCGCACGGGUGCGUAACGCGUGGGAACCUGCCCUUAGGUUCGGAAUAACUCCCCGAAAGGGGUGCUAAUACCGGAUAAUGUCUUCGGACCAAAGAUUUAUCGCCUUUGGAUGGGCCCGCGUUGGAUUAGCUAGUUGGUAGGGUAAAAGCCUACCAAGGCGACGAUCCAUAGCUGGUCUGAGAGGAUGAUCAGCCACACUGGGACUGAGACACUGCCCAGACUCCUACGGGAGGCAGCAGUGGGGAAUAUUGGACAAUGGGCGAAAGCCUGAUCCAGCAAUGCCGCGUGAGUGAUGAAGGCCUUAGGGUUGUAAAGCUCUUUUACCCGGGAUGAUAAUGACAGUACCGGGAGAAUAAGCUCCGGCUAACUCCGUG
RNAcentral lists this ribosomal RNA (433 nucleotides) under uncultured bacterium. RNAcentral describes it as "partial 16S ribosomal RNA". It matches the Rfam family "Bacterial small subunit ribosomal RNA", at positions 29 to 507 of the family's 1533-position model. The record is from RNAcentral.